Molecule: small RNA, 145 nt
Filed under: Pan troglodytes (chimpanzee)
Lineage: Eukaryota; Metazoa; Chordata; Mammalia; Primates; Hominidae
Description: processed transcript
Source: RNAcentral
GCUCUGCUAGAUUGCAAAUGACCUACUUUCUUUCUGAUCCUGGGCUGCGUUCCCACCCCUGUCAGAUAGUAAAUCCCAAGUAAGGUACCUGCUUUCAGCAGAUCUGAGCUUUCUUCUUGGACACCUAAAACCCACAGUCCUCCAG